Molecule: transfer RNA, 72 nt
Filed under: Streptococcus mutans NN2025
Lineage: Bacteria; Bacillati; Bacillota; Bacilli; Lactobacillales; Streptococcaceae
Description: tRNA-Asp
Rfam family: tRNA
About the family: Transfer RNA (tRNA) molecules are approximately 80 nucleotides in length. Their secondary structure includes four short double-helical elements and three loops (D, anti-codon, and T loops). Further hydrogen bonds mediate the characteristic L-shaped molecular structure. tRNAs have two regions of fundamental functional importance: the anti-codon, which is responsible for specific mRNA codon recognition, and the 3' end, to which the tRNAs corresponding amino acid is attached (by aminoacyl-tRNA synthetases). tRNAs cope with the degeneracy of the genetic code in two manners: having more than one tRNA (with a specific anti-codon) for a particular amino acid; and 'wobble' base-pairing, i.e. permitting non-standard base-pairing at the 3rd anti-codon position.
Source: RNAcentral
GGUCCCGUGGUGUAGCGGUUAUCACGUCGCCCUGUCACGGCGAAGAUCGCGGGUUCGAUUCCCGUCGGGACC